This 466-nucleotide ribosomal RNA is filed under the name uncultured bacterium. Its description in RNAcentral is "partial 16S ribosomal RNA". It matches the Rfam family "Bacterial small subunit ribosomal RNA", at positions 28 to 508 of the family's 1533-position model. The record is from RNAcentral.
GACGAACGCUGGCGGCGUGCUUAACACAUGCAAGUCGAACGGAAAGGCCCCUUCGGGGGUACUCGAGUGGCGAACAGGUGAGUAACACGUGAGUAACCUGCCCUUGACUUCGGGAUAACUUCAGGAAACUGGGGCUAAUACCGGAUAGGAAUCCUUGCUGCAUGGUGGGGGUUGGAAAGCUUCGGCGGUUUUGGAUGGACUCGCGGCUUAUCAGCUUGUUGGUGGGGUAGUGGCUUACCAAGGCUUUGACGGGUAGCCGGCCUGAGAGGGCGACCGGCCACAUUGGGACUGAGAUACGGCCCAGACUCCUACGGGGGGCAGCAGUGGGGAAUAUUGCACAAUGGGCGGAAGCCUGAGGCAGCAACGCCGCGUGCGGGAUGACGGCCUUCGGGUUGUAAACCGCUUUCAGCAGGGGCGAAGCUUGUGGUGACGGUACCUGCAGAAGAAGCACCGGCUAACUACGUGC